GUCUCAAAGACUAAGCCAUGCAUGUGCAAGUAUAAACGCUUGAACCGUGAGACUGCGAAUGGCUCAUUAAAUCAGUUAUAGUUUAUUUGAUGGUGUUCCCACUACGUGGAUAACCGUGGUAACGUAGAGCUAAUACAUGCCGAAGGCCUCGACUCCGUCUCGGCGGGGAAGAGGCGUAUUUAUUAGAUCCAAAACCAACCUGGGCGGCUUGGCUUCCCAGCUUCCUGCUUGGUGAUUCAUGGUAACUGCUCGAAUCGCUUGGCCUCCGCGCCGGCGAUGGUUCAUUCAAGUUUCUGCCCUAUCAACUUUCGAUGGUAGGGUAUUGGCCUACCAUGGUUGCAACGGGUGACGGAGAAUUAGGGUUCGAUUCCGGAGAGGGAGCCUGAGAAACGGCUACCACAUCUAAGGAGGGCAGCAGGCGCGCAAAUUACCCAAUCCCGACUCGGGGAGGUAGUGACAAUAAAUAACAAUGCCGGUCCCUAAAGUGGUCCGGCAAUUGGAAUGAGUCCAAUCCAAACCCCUUAACGAGGAACAAUUGGAGGGCAAGUCUGGUGCCAGCAGCCGCGGUAAUUCCAGCUCCAAUAGCGUAUAUUAAAGUUGUUGCAGUUAAAAAGCUCGUAGUUGGAUUUCGGGGUCCGCGCCCGUGCCCUGGCGUCUGGUGUCGCUCUCGUCCAGUUCGCUGGUCCUGGCGUCGCCGUCGUCGGUGUGCGGCGUGCUCGGCCGGCGCGGUCCGCCGAGAGGCGAGCACUGCCCGGCGUCUCCCUGUGCUCUCGGAGGCUCCGUCUGCUCUUGAUUGCAGCGGUCGGGGAGUUCGGGACGUUUACUUUGAACAAAUUAGAGUGUUCCAAGCAGGCCGGUGGCUUUGAAUACGUUAGCAUGGAAUAAUGGAAUAGGGCUGCUUUGUUUGUCCUAUUUUGUUGGUUUUCGGGACGGCAGUCAUGGUCGAUAGGGACAGUUGGGGGCAUUCGUAUUCAGUUGUCAGAGGUGAAAUUCUCGGAUUUACGGAAGACGGUCGGGUGCGAAAGCAUUUGCCAAGGAUGUUUUCAUUAAUCAAGAACGAAAGUUGGGGGUUCGAAGACGAUCAGAUACCGUCGUAGUCCCAACCAUAAACGAUGCCGGCUAGGGAUCGGCGGACGUCGGGUGCGACUCCGUCGGCACCUUUGGAGAAAUCAAAGCCUUUGGGUUCCGGGGGGAGUAUGGUCGCAAGGCUGAAACUUAAAGGAAUUGACGGAAGGGCACCACCAGGAGUGGAGCCUGCGGCUUAAUUUGACUCAACACGGGGAACCUCACCAGGUCCGGACAUGGGAAGGAUUGACAGAUCGAGAGCUCUUUCUUGAUUCUAUGGGUGGUGGUGCAUGGCCGUUCUUAGUUGGUGGAGUGAUUUGUCUGGUUGAUUCCGUUAACGAACGAGACCUUAACCUGCUAACUAGUCGUGCCGUUUCCGAACGGCGGGCGUUCAGCUGGUCUCGGGGCAGCCCUUGCGGGUGCUUCGGGACGGCCGA
Molecule: ribosomal RNA, 1502 nt
Filed under: Xestospongia muta (giant barrel sponge)
Lineage: Eukaryota; Metazoa; Porifera; Demospongiae; Haplosclerida; Petrosiidae
Description: SSU rRNA
Rfam family: Eukaryotic small subunit ribosomal RNA
Source: RNAcentral